This is a non-coding RNA of Camellia sinensis, 349 nucleotides long. The record is from RefSeq and is a predicted model, not a curated record. NCBI's taxonomy places the organism in Eukaryota, Viridiplantae, Streptophyta, Magnoliopsida, Ericales, Theaceae.
AUUCUAGAUUGAAAAGUUAGGGUUUUUUAUUUGGGGCUUUGAUUUGUAGAUUCUUUUAUAUGCAUUGUUGUCUUUGAGUUUCAUAGUGGUUCUCUCUUAAAGAUAUAGAUGGAUUUCAUAGUUGAUUUGGGACUUGAUUUGUAGAAACCAAAAAUUCCCCAAUUUUAACUAUUUCAAAGUUUUCUUUUAUCCAUUUGGGUUGAGUCUGGCAACUAUUUGCGAUAUACCAAUCAGAGAAAACUGUUUCAAGGUUUUCUUUUAUCCAUUUGGGUUGAGUCUGGCAACCAUUUGAGAUAUACCAAUCAGAGAAUUAAUAGCUCACAAUAACAAUCUGAGUUUUUGUCACAAA